Molecule: non-coding RNA, 267 nt
Organism: Mus musculus (house mouse)
Lineage: Eukaryota; Metazoa; Chordata; Mammalia; Rodentia; Muridae
Source: Rfam
UGGUGCCCAGUAAGUGGGGCUCAAGUACGGGGGCUUCAGUGAAGAACACCGUGGUGUUCAGCUGAUUUUGGAUGGAAGACGUCUUGAAUGGGAGCCUGCUGCCUCAACUAGAAAUCCUACUGAGUCUUCAGUGAUCAUGGGAGAGGCACUUAGUAACCAGGAACUCUUUGUGGAAGGUUUGAAAAAGGCUUUGAAGGCACGAGAGAUAAAGGUUAAAAUACAUGACUUACUUGCAUUUUUUUGAUUUUGUAAAAGAGAUUUGUCCAC